UACGGAAGGCAGCAGUGGGGAAUAUUGCACAAUGGGCGCAAGCCUGAUGCAGCCAUGCCGCGUGUAUGAAGAAGGCCUUCGGGUUGUAAAGUACUUUCAGUCGUGAGGAAGGUGUUAAGGUUAAUAACCUUAGCAAUUGACGUUAGCGACAGAAGAAGCACCGGCUAACUCCGUGCCAGCAGCCGCGGUAAUACGGAGGGUGCGAGCGUUAAUCGGAAUUACUGGGCGUAAAGGGCACGCAGGCGGUUAAUUAAGUUGGAUGUGAAAUCCCCCGGGCUUAACCUGGGAAUGGCAUUCAAGACUGGUUAGCUAGAGUCUUGUAGAGGGGGUAGAAUUCCAUGUGUAGCGGUGAAAUGCGUAGAGAUGUGGAGGAAUACCGGUGGCGAAGGCGGCCCCUGGGACAAAGACUGACGCUCAUGUGCGAAAGCGUGGGGAGCAAACAGGAUUAGAUACC
This 454-nucleotide ribosomal RNA is filed under the name uncultured bacterium. RNAcentral's name for it is "bacterial SSU rRNA". It matches the Rfam family "Bacterial small subunit ribosomal RNA", at positions 340 to 786 of the family's 1533-position model. The record is from RNAcentral.